GCGCGAGUAGUCCAGUGGCCAAGAUGCGGCCUUGCCAAGGCUGUGACCCGGGUUCGAAUCCCGGCUCGCGCA
RNAcentral lists this transfer RNA (72 nucleotides) under Candidatus Woesearchaeota archaeon. RNAcentral's name for it is "tRNA-Gly". It matches the Rfam family "tRNA". Rfam says of the family: Transfer RNA (tRNA) molecules are approximately 80 nucleotides in length. Their secondary structure includes four short double-helical elements and three loops (D, anti-codon, and T loops). The record is from RNAcentral. Lineage: Archaea; Nanobdellati; Candidatus Woesearchaeota.